Molecule: long non-coding RNA, 584 nt
Organism: Oncorhynchus tshawytscha (Chinook salmon)
Lineage: Eukaryota; Metazoa; Chordata; Actinopteri; Salmoniformes; Salmonidae
Source: Ensembl
AGUCACUUCCUGAAAUCUGCAUUCAAAUAGUUUUAAUAAGUAGUCACUUCCUGAAAUCUGUAUUCAAAUAGUUUUAAUAAGUAGUCACUUCCUGAAAUCUGUAUUCAAAUAGUUUUAAUAAGUAGUCACUUCCUGAAAUCUGUAUUCAAAUAGUUUUAAUAAGUAGUCACUUCCUGAAAUCUGUAUUCAUAUGGUUUUAAUAAGUAGUCACUUCCUGAAAUCUAUAUUCAAAUAGUUUUAAAAAGUCACCUCCAAAGUGGCUAUUUGUUCCCCAAUCAUUCCAAAGCAGUUAAAGGGAAUGGGGCGCCAUUUGGGACAAACAGAGUGGGGUGUAUGGAAUAUAAUAUUCAGACCCAGGUCUAAGAGAUGGAACAGGCUGGGACAAACAGAGUGGGGAGUAUGGAGUAUAAUAUCCAGACCCAGGUCUAAGAGAUGGAACAGGCUGGGACAAACAGAGUGGUGAGUAUGGAGUAUAAUAUCCAGACCCAGGUCUAAGAGAUGGAACAAACAGAGUGGUGAGUAUGGAGUAUAAUAUCCAGACCCAGGUCUAAGAGAUGGAACAGGCUGGGACAAACAGAGUGGGG